RNAcentral lists this ribosomal RNA (699 nucleotides) under uncultured organism. RNAcentral's name for it is "bacterial SSU rRNA". It matches the Rfam family "Bacterial small subunit ribosomal RNA", at positions 74 to 764 of the family's 1533-position model. The record is from RNAcentral.
CAUUCUUCGGGAUGGCUAGAGUGGCGAACGGGUGAGUAACACGUAGGUGAUCUGCCCUUGAGUUGGGGAUAGCCCAUGGAAACAUGGGGUAAUACCGAAUACGCUCAGGACCCUGUGGGGAUCUGAGGAAAAGCGCUUCGGCGCUGCUCGAGGAUGAGCCUGCGGCUGAUUAGUUAGUUGGUGGGGUAACGGCCUACCAAGGCGACGAUCAGUAGCCGGCCUGAGAGGGUGAGCGGCCACACUGGGACUGAGAUACGGCCCAGACUCCUACGGGAGGCAGCAGCUAAGAAUCUUCUACAAUGGACGAAAGUCUGAUAGAGCGACGCCGCGUGGGUGAUGAAGGCCGGAAGGUUGUAAAGCCCUUUUCUAUUCGAGGAAUAACCAUAGGAGGCAAUGCCUGUGGGAUGACGGUAGGGUAGGAAUAAGCCCCGGCCAAUUACGUGCCAGCAGCCGCGGUAACACGUAUGGGGCGAGCGUUGUCGGAAUCAUUGGGCGUAAGGGCGCGUAGGCGGAUAUGCAAGCUUUGGUGUGAAAGACCGCAGCUCAACUGCGGGAGCGCGCUGAGAACUGCAUAUCUUGAGUUCAAGAGGGGAAGCUGGAAUUCCAGGUGUAGGGGUGAAAUCUGUAGAUAUCUGGAAGAACAUCAGUGGCGAAGGCGAGCUUCUGGCUUUGAACUGACGCUGAGGCGCGAAAGCGUGG